This is a non-coding RNA of Pelobates cultripes (western spadefoot toad), 239 nucleotides long. NCBI's taxonomy places the organism in Eukaryota, Metazoa, Chordata, Amphibia, Anura, Pelobatidae. The record is from the annotation of a GenBank genome assembly.
GUUACCUCUAAAAGAGGAGGGAGAGCAAAGUAGACAGAAACAAAUAACGACACCUUGCCUCAGAAUCCUAUAAACUAGAGAGGGGCCAAUUUAAUGUACCCCAUUCUGACACUCCAUUUACUACAAGGUAUGACAUGAUGUAAUGAAGCCUCCCCCAUCCCCUCCAAUCCUUAAUCUGAUGGACGGUGCAAUUACGUUCACUCCUAAACUCUUGUGUAUGCAUGAGAGUUCUUAAUGGC